GCUGGGCGUGGUGGCACACGCCUGUAAUCUCAGCAGCUUGGGAGGCUGAGACAGGAGGAUCACAAGUUCAAGGCCAGCCUCAGCAAUGGAGAGGCGCUAAGCAACUCAGUGAGACCCUGUCUCUA
Molecule: small RNA, 125 nt
Filed under: Marmota monax (woodchuck)
Lineage: Eukaryota; Metazoa; Chordata; Mammalia; Rodentia; Sciuridae
Source: RNAcentral